UUUUAUUGUCAUUAUAUUAUUUCAACCGAUUCGAAUACUUUUCAUUAUUCGUAGUCACAGACGACUAAAGUGUUAUUCGUCAUAGUUAUUAAUACUUUAUUCUUCGACAUUUACUUAGAAAAUUGUGAUAACUAACGUCUAUUUUUCUAUAUAUAUUUUCUAGAUAUUCACGUUCCAUUUUAUACAGAACGAGCUAAUAGUUGCCAGACCUUCAGGCUGUUUGUUGUACUUCGGUUGUCAUUGUGCAGAUAAAAGGAUCCCAGGACUUUUUGACAUGGAACGGAGCGAAGCUGCGUUGAUUCUGAUGUUGACAUCACUUUCGAGACAAUUUUGACAAACUACAAACUUUGUACUCGGUUAUUCUUGACGUUCGCAAUGUGUCCUUGACUCUGACCGAUAUUGUGUACCUAUCUUAGUUUGUCUCAAAUUUUAAGUGUAAGUAAAUAAGUAAGUGUACUGAAAAUAGCCGUUACCUAAUCAACGAAUAUCAUCUUGGUCAUCCGCAUAGAUUAUACUGUAUACACUUAAUAUCGUCCGAGACGACGUAAAGGGUAAAUUUUUUUUAUUGUAUCGAUGGAGCUACAAUGUUCGCGUUUGAUGCAUCGUUUAGUGUGAUUAUGACGCACAAGUCCUGGUUUGCAAUAGCAGCCCAGAGAACAUCGUCUGGGUCGCAUCGUACAAGGACGACUGUCGCAGCUUGGCUCGCAUCCGUACCGACAGACAUACUCCUCGUUUGGAUCUAGACAAUUUUCUGUAAUAACAAAUUAAGUCUAAUUUUAGAAAUUAUUAAUAUAACAAAAUUUUCAACGACA
Bombyx mori (domestic silkworm) is the source of this 812-nucleotide long non-coding RNA. RefSeq lists it as uncharacterized. The transcript is spliced from 2 exons. The record is from RefSeq and is a predicted model, not a curated record. Lineage: Eukaryota; Metazoa; Arthropoda; Insecta; Lepidoptera; Bombycidae.